GGGAAGAGCUCAUCAUUGGAAUCUGGCAGUGUUUCACUGUCCGAGUUGUAGAUGAGGAGUAGUCCGUCUGGACUGCAUGGCGUCCAAGUACAAUAGGCCGUCAGUGGGACAUCAUAGAGGGUGACAAUCCCGUCCUUGACGCCAAUGUGCAAGUCUAUUACGAUGGCUAUCUCAGAGAGUCGAGCAGUUUGGGAUUUGCUGCUUAAACAUGGGAGGUAGAUUCCUUCUAAAGCUAAAUACAGGCGAGAGACCGAUAGAGAACAAGUACCGCAAGGGAAAGAUGAAAUAGCACUCUGUGAAGGGAGUCAAAAGGCGUGAAAUUGUUGCGAGAGAAGCGAUUCAAGUCAGCGUAGCUAGGCCCAUCAAGCGUCUUCGCUUUGGACUAGCUUUGCCAGCGGUCUUGUCCCUUAAAGAGACUUGACUUGUAAUAUGUCCAGCCUGGCGUGCACAGGCAGCCCCUUCUGGGGGCCAGUGACAUGGCUGGUGGAAUGGCUUGCAAUCGACCCGUCUUGAAACACGGACCAAGGAGUCUAACAUGUAUGCGAGUAUAAGGGUGGCAAACCCGUAUGCGCAAUGAAAGUGAUUUUCGGUGAUUGAGAAUGGCCUGAUGACCAGACAAGCAAUAUAUGUCCCUCGUACGGCCAUUGCCCAAGUUCCGUGGUAGAUCCCACGAACAUGGAGUUGGAGCAUACAUGCUAGGACCCGAAAGAUGGUGAACUAUGCCUGGACAAAGCGAAGCCAAAGGAAACUCUGGUGGAGGCUUGUAGCGAUUCUGACGUGCAAAUCGAUCGUCUGAUC
RNAcentral lists this ribosomal RNA (798 nucleotides) under Cantharellus cibarius (golden chanterelle). Its description in RNAcentral is "eukaryotic LSU rRNA". It matches the Rfam family "Eukaryotic large subunit ribosomal RNA", at positions 100 to 911 of the family's 3401-position model. The record is from RNAcentral. Lineage: Eukaryota; Fungi; Basidiomycota; Agaricomycetes; Cantharellales; Hydnaceae.